Hyla sarda is the source of this 1440-nucleotide long non-coding RNA. RefSeq lists it as uncharacterized. Lineage: Eukaryota; Metazoa; Chordata; Amphibia; Anura; Hylidae. The record is from RefSeq and is a predicted model, not a curated record. The transcript is spliced from 4 exons.
CCAAGUGUAGUGUGAUACUAAAUAAGCAUAGCCUUGGUCGUGGGACCCGGGUAUGUAGUAGGUCUGAUUAUGACAGUUCUUAAAGCACUGGAAUGGCCUGUUAAACAUUGGAAGAUCAUGUGUUAAAGGGGUUAACCAGAUUGACAUUGAUCUGCAUAGAAGCUGCAAACACAAAAUAGGCGAGGAGCAAAAACCGUCCAUCGCCGCCAGCUUGAAUACCCCCGCACAUGUACCAUCCCGCUCCCCUGUUUGUAAUCCUGCCAUGACGAUGCCAAUGAAACAAAAAAAGUCCCUGCUCCAUGUACUGGUAUUUUUCAGGGCAGAUUAAUCAUGUAGCAGUCACAGCGGUGGUCCUAUGCCCGCAGGCAGAAGAGGUUGAGCAGCAGUUCUUCCCAGCACAACUAAUUCAUUAUCAGUUAUGGGUAUAUCUAUAUUUGUAGAACACUGAAUCGAUGACCAGUUCUAUACUGUAUAUGAGGGGGAGGAUUUAGUAAUUGGAAAAUUCUUCUACAAUCUAAUGGACUAGUUGGUUGCUAAAUUUUUGGAAUUUAAUAAACAGUAGUAUACUGUUACUGGAGAAGAAGGAAACAGGAGAUUACAAGAGAUAUUAGCAAUACUACCGUUGUUACUGCUGGUACCAAUCCACAACUUACAGGACUUCCCACUUGGUACAAUUUUUGAUACAUUUUUUUAUCAAAAGCUAUAUUUUUCCCCAUCUCAGAGAUUUAUGGCAUAUCAACUGAGCCUCAGGCUGUUCUACUCUGUUUCUAUAAAUCUUAUAGAAGUAAAUGUAAGUUCUUGAAAGGGCGUAGAAAUGUGAGUUACAGUUCAUACAUAUGGGGGACUUGGAUUUUACAUGCUGAUUAUAAGUAAAAUCCUACUGGCUUCUGAUUAAAUUUAUUAAAGAGGACCUGUAACAACCCAAAAAAAUAAUUUUACUAUUAAUAAAUAGCGUAGCGUGGCCUAGCGAUUAAGUCUUCACUGCACUGUAGUUUAGGAUUACAAAUCGACAAUGAAAUUGAAUACUCUGGUGGUAUUAUACUACAGCCUCAUUGUGCUGUUGUGACUGUGGAUAUAAAGGCAUCCCUACACGUGCUGGGGUGCUGCCAACUUCUCAUGCACUACUGGUCUUGGGUAUUUACAUUGUUACCUUAUCAGAUGCAUAUGGUAACUCAUGGUCAUUCUUAUUGUAUACACCUUUUUAAUAAGCCUUGAGCAACUCCAGAAAUUGCCAUUUUUGCAUAUACUACUGAACAAAAGAUAAGGGCACUGUAGUGGUCAAUGACCAGUGAGCAAAAAGCACGGUCACUAAGUGUGAACUGCUGUCAUUAGCGGUCUGUCGCUGGGGGAGAGUGGAGUCCUAGUGCCUGUGAGUCCGGAGGUGCUGGGGACCAAACAUGCCCAAAGUCACACAUCAAAUUCUAGCAAAGAACAAACAUG